UUUUUUACACAAAAAAACCAACAUACCUUUUGUUUUGUCGUCAUGAGCAAUAUCAUGACAUUUUUUUAAAACAAGUUGCUAUAUGAGGUUAUGUUUCAUCCUAUGAUAAGUUAAAAUUCAUCCUAGAUAAUUGCCACGGAACGGAAAACAAUUAAAACCUAAAUGAAUUCGGUUUAUAUAUAGCCCAAUAAACUAAAUAAACCAUACUUUAUAUUUAUCAAAAUAAACUCAACAAAAUGAAUUAUGUUUAUUCGAUUGAAACCGAAAACCAAACUGAGUUCAAAUGUGGUUUGUAAUUCGGUUUUGAAGUACUUAAUUUCCGUUCAGUUUGGUUCGGUUUUUAGUUUAACCCCUAAAAUUUCUUAUUGUAUAAAAGCCAACGAAUAACCCAAACAAGUGGAAAAGAACUGUUGGACACCUCUACCGGUUCUAAGUUGUUUUUAUAUUUUGUCACGAUAUUGUUCAAACUUAACAUAUGUGAAGGGACUUUAAUGUUCAAAAAAAUAUUGAGGGACGUUUAUGAAACAAAACAGAAAGUAAAGUGUGUUGGUUUUUUAAGUAUAAAAAUUGUGGAGUGACUUUUUAAAUAUAUUGAUUUUUUAUGGUAUUUGCCCAAUAUUAAAUGUUGUGUAGUAUUGCAAUUUCAAGGUUUUAAUAUAUGUUACAAGACUGCUUAAAAGAUUUUUCAAACUACCUUCAAUUUAUACUUGCAUUUUGAAAAAUAUAUCAUCGUUUAUAACCUUUUUGUAGAAUAUUUUCAAGUUUUGUUGAUACUUUUAACUUUAAAUUUUCGAACAAAAUCCUCACUAUUCCAAUAUUUUUAUAGAUUCAUUUUACAAACCUUUCUGAGUUAAUUAUGUAACAAGUGUUUCUGGAUAUUUUUAUAUUAAGCUUAUUUCAUACUUAAUUCAUGCAGACGUCACUUAUUCUCGAAUUGAUGCACCUAAAAUACCCAUAGAUUUGUUGUGUUUUAACUGUUGAAACAAGAGAUCAUAAUGGACUUGUAAAUUGUUUUUUUUUUAAACUCCUUUUAUCAAUAUUGCAAAUCAGACGCUUUUUUUUUUUU
RNAcentral lists this long non-coding RNA (1066 nucleotides) under Helianthus annuus (common sunflower). RNAcentral's name for it is "sRNA HanXRQr2_Chr15g0718981". The record is from RNAcentral. Lineage: Eukaryota; Viridiplantae; Streptophyta; Magnoliopsida; Asterales; Asteraceae.